Molecule: ribosomal RNA, 433 nt
Filed under: uncultured bacterium
Lineage: Bacteria
Description: bacterial SSU rRNA
Rfam family: Bacterial small subunit ribosomal RNA
Source: RNAcentral
AACGAACGCUGGCGGCAGGCUUAACACAUGCAAGUCGAACGAACUCUUCGGAGUUAGUGGCAGACGGGUGAGUAACGCGUGGGAACCUACCUUAGGUACGGAACAACAGUUGGAAAACGACUGCUAAUACCGUAUGUGCCCCUAUGGGGGAAAGAUUUAUCGCCUAAGGAUGGGCCCGCGUUGGAUUAGCUAGUUGUGGGGUAAAGGCCUACCAAGGCGACGAUCCAUAGCUGGUCUGAGAGGAUGAUCAGCCACACUGGGACUGAGACACGGCCCAGACUCCUACGGGAGGCAGCAGUGGGGAAUAUUGGACAAUGGGCGCAAGCCUGAUCCAGCCAUGCCGCGUGAGUGAUGAAGGCCCUAGCGUUGUAAAGCUCUUUCAGCGAGGAGGAUAAUGACGUUACUCGCAGAAGAAGCCCCGGCUAACUUCGUG